Molecule: small RNA, 195 nt
Filed under: Pseudorhodoferax sp. Leaf274
Lineage: Bacteria; Pseudomonadati; Pseudomonadota; Betaproteobacteria; Burkholderiales; Comamonadaceae
Also listed under: 1 other name
Description: Manganese Mn2+ riboswitch aptamer (yybP-ykoY)
Rfam family: Manganese Mn2+ riboswitch aptamer (yybP-ykoY)
About the family: This RNA was originally discovered in E. coli during a large scale screen and was named SraF. The family was later found to exist upstream of related families of protein genes in many bacteria, including the the yybP and ykoK genes in B. subtilis.
Source: Rfam by way of RNAcentral
CCGCCCGUCUUGGGGGAGUAGCCAGCCUUCGCUUUGUGCGAGAGGGGUUUGCGUCAACAGACUUGUUCGUGCCGUGCCUUGGUGUGCGGUCCGACAUGGCGCAAACGGACCACCAGCAGCAGCCUGCAACGGGCGAUGCCUUGCCGGGGUUCAAGCGAGACCUUUGACUGCGCAGCUUCUCGUGCCGGGAAGGCU